AUGCUGAUGCGGAAUAGAAAAUGCAAAAACGUCGCUUGCUCAACCGCAAAUUGACGGCUACGCUGAAGCGCAUGCCGUGUCUGCGGAAUUUGAACCCCGAGCUUUCCAGAGUUCCUUGGAAAAUCCUCCCAUGCACCUGCCAUGUACAUUGCCCUCCUCCUCGAUGUGGCGUGCAAGAUGGCAGCAGCAGCUGUGGGAACAGUUGAAGAGGCGAAGAAAGGUCUACUUUAUAAUAGGUUGUAUGUAAAUAAAACUGAUCGACCUCAACAGAUUCGGCUUCCACUUUUGUCAAGACAAUUGUCAGCAAAGCAAUGGAGCAAUUUCAGUAGGGCGAUAGUAAUAAAUAGUGCAUAGAAA
RNAcentral lists this long non-coding RNA (357 nucleotides) under Dermacentor andersoni. Its description in RNAcentral is "uncharacterized LOC126534357". The record is from RNAcentral. Lineage: Eukaryota; Metazoa; Arthropoda; Arachnida; Ixodida; Ixodidae.